GGACGGGUGAGUAAUGCUAGGGAAUCUGCCUGGUAGUGGGGGACAACGUUUCGAAAGGAACGCUAAUACCGCAUACGUCCUACGGGAGAAAGCAGGGGACCUUCGGGCCUUGCGCUAUCAGAUGAGCCUAGGUCGGAUUAGCUAGUUGGUGAGGUAAUGGCUCACCAAGGCGACGAUCCGUAACUGGUCUGAGAGGAUGAUCAGUCACACUGGAACUGAGACACGGUCCAGACUCCAUACGGGAGGCAGCAGUGGGGAAUAUUGGACAAUGGGCGAAAGGCCUGAUCCAGCCAUGCCGCGUGUGUGAAGAAGGUCUUCGGAUUGUAAAGCACUUAAAGUUGGGAGGAAGGGCAUUAACCUAAUACGUUAGUGUUUGACGUUACCGACAGAAUAAGCACCGGCUAACUCUGUGCCAGCAGCCGGGUAAUACAGAGGGUGCAAGCGUUAAUCGGAAUUACUGGGCGUAAAGCGCGCGUAGGUGGUUCGUAAGUUGAAUGUGAAAUCCCCGGGCUCAACCUGGGAACUGGAUCCAAAAUUGGCGAGCUAGAGUAUGGUAAAGGGU
RNAcentral lists this ribosomal RNA (562 nucleotides) under uncultured bacterium. Its description in RNAcentral is "bacterial SSU rRNA". It matches the Rfam family "Bacterial small subunit ribosomal RNA", at positions 100 to 659 of the family's 1533-position model. The record is from RNAcentral.